GUCGAGCGGAUGAAGGGAGCUUGCUCUCUGAUUCAGCGGCGGACGGGUGAGUAAUGCCUAGGAAUCUGCCUGAUAGUGGGGGACAACGUUUCGAAAGGAACGCUAAUACCGCAUACGUCCUACGGGAGAAAGCAGGGGACCUUCGGGCCUUGCGCUAUCAGAUGAGCCUAGGUCGGAUUAGCUAGUUGGUGAGGUAAUGGCUCACCAAGGCGACGAUCCGUAACUGGUCUGAGAGGAUGAUCAGUCACACUGGAACUGAGACACGGUCCAGACUCCUACGGGAGGCAGCAGUGGGGAAUAUUGGACAAUGGGCGAAAGCCUGAUCCAGCCAUGCCGCGUGUGUGAAGAAGGUCUUCGGAUUGUAAAGCACUUUAAGUUGGGAGGAAGGGCAUUAACCUAAUACGUUAGUGUUUUGACGUUACCGACAGAAUAAGCACCGGCUAACUUCGUGCCAGCAGCCGCGGUAAUACGAAGGGUGCAAGCGUUAAUCGGAAUUACUGGGCGUAAAGCGCGCGUAGGUGGUUUGUUAAGUUGGAUGUGAAAGCCCCGGGCUCAACCUGGGAACUGCAUCCAAAACUGGCAAGCUAGAGUAUGGCAGAGGGUGGUGGAAUUUCCUGUGUAGCGGUGAAAUGCGUAGAUAUAGGAAGGAACACCAGUGGCGAAGGCGACCACCUGGGCUAAUACUGACACUGAGGUGCGAAAGCGUGGGGAGCAAACAGGAUUAGAUACCCUGGUAGUCCACGCCGUAAACGAUGUCGACUAGCCGUUGGGAUCCUUGAGAUCUUAGUGGCGCAGCUAACGCAUUAAGUCGAC
RNAcentral lists this ribosomal RNA (813 nucleotides) under bacterium LGM59. RNAcentral describes it as "bacterial SSU rRNA". It matches the Rfam family "Bacterial small subunit ribosomal RNA", at positions 61 to 869 of the family's 1533-position model. The record is from RNAcentral.